UGGGGAAUAUUGGACAAUGGGGGAAACCCUGAUCCAGCGACGCCGCGUGAGGGAUGAAGGUCUUCGGAUUGUAAACCUCUUUUGCCUGGGAAUAACUGCCCUGUAGAAAUACGGGGAUUGAAUGUACCAGGCGAAUACGCCACGGCUAACUUCGUGCCAGCAGCCGCGGUAAUACGAAGGUGGCAAGCGUUACUCGGAAUUACUAGGCGUAAAGGGCAGGUAGGCGGUUUGGUAAGUCUGUUGUGAAAGCUCCUUGCUUAACGGGGAGAGGCCAACAGAUACUACCAGGCUUGAGUAUAGGAGAGGGUACUGGAAUUCCCGGUGUAGCGGUGAAAUGCGCAGAGAUCGGGAGGAACACCAAUGGCGAAAGCAGGUACCUGGACUAUUACUGACGCUCAGCUGCGAAAGCUAGGGGAGCAAA
Molecule: ribosomal RNA, 421 nt
Filed under: uncultured bacterium
Lineage: Bacteria
Description: bacterial SSU rRNA
Rfam family: Bacterial small subunit ribosomal RNA
Source: RNAcentral